Non-coding RNA from Pelobates cultripes (western spadefoot toad), 629 nucleotides. Lineage: Eukaryota; Metazoa; Chordata; Amphibia; Anura; Pelobatidae. The record is from the annotation of a GenBank genome assembly.
AAAGCCAAUAGAUUUGUUGGCAACAAAAACUGGCAGGACUCUGCCCCUCUUGCCCCUAUGCAAAGUGGAAUUACUCUCCAUAUCAGAUAUAGUCACUCUCUGGCUACUUUUGCCCACAGCUUUGCCCACUCUGCUUUCAAAAAGAAAAUUCUGUUAAAAGAGUAUUAAAAAACAAAACAAAACAAAAAAACAGAAAGACACAUUGCUUUACUACUGCGGAGAAAUUAAGAGUGCAGUAUUCGGUCCCUCCAGUGCAAUAAUGAGUAGAAAAGCUUUUUGAUCUAUGUUUGAUAUUCAAAAUUCCAAGCGGUUUUAACAAAAUGUGUGCUUAUCCAGACUGUAUUUCACUGCUCGGCCAAUUUCUUCAAAUAAUGCUCUUAGGAAAAUGUAAUAUGGCCUCUGAUUAUGCUUAAUGAAUUAUUUAACAUGCGUGUUUGCAAAGUACCUGCAGGGAAAGAUUUUUUUUCCUUCCAAAUUACGUUUAGAUGUUUGUUUGUUAUUUUGUAUUUAUUGAGGUUACUUUUAUUGCACUGGUGACUCUUACAUUUAUUUUGCAGAAUUUCUAAAAUGCAUUCAUUUUUUUCACCAGAGUAAAUGUUAAGUGUUUCCCAGUUAAACCAUAUUCAAAG